This is a non-coding RNA of Podarcis lilfordi (Lilford's wall lizard), 11097 nucleotides long. The record is from the annotation of a GenBank genome assembly. Lineage: Eukaryota; Metazoa; Chordata; Lepidosauria; Squamata; Lacertidae.
AUAUAUUGUGAUUUUUAAAUGUAAUGAAAUGAAAAUUACUGUUUGCUCUGCACUAAACUUUACAGAGCAGCAUGAAUCAAACAGGCAGUCUAAAUCACGGGUCACCAAUAUGGCACCCAUGUGCCCAAAGAGGCCUGUCCUUUCUUAUCCCUAUGCUGAAGUUUGACUCAAUGCAACACUACAACCGAAUAGGCUGCACAGUGUGCUAGGUUGUGAGGUGUGUGUAAUGACCACAGUUUGCAGAGGUACCCAUAGGCCUAAUUUUGUUUUGGCAUCUCAUGAUCUAAACCAAUUGCUGCCUUUAUACAACUUUCUUUAAUGUUCUCAAUGGAAAGCAUUUCAGCCUGGAAUCAUCACUCUUCCAGUUCCACCACCAUCCUUCCUUCCUGAACUGAUUUCCCUCUCUCUUGUUGCCCGUGAUGUUUGGAAGGACCUCCCAGCAUACCUGCAUGAUGCCUCCUCUCCCAUUCAUUCAUUCAUUCAUUCAACCUGGACAGCUCUAAAAGGUGAUUAGACCAAUACAUGGAUAAGACUACCAGUGACCACUAGCCAUGAUGGCUAUGACCUACCUCCAGUAUUAGAGGCGGCAUGUCUCUGAAUACCAGUUGCUGAGGGGCACAAGUGGGAAGAUCAGCACUUCUCAUGGGCACCUGGCUGACCACUAUGAGAACAGGUUGCUGGGCUGACUAUCCGUGGAUGUGCCUUUUUAGGAAAAGGAGUCAAUCCACUCAGAAGAUGGGGUUAAACCUCUUUUGACAAUAAGACCACACCGUCCGCAUAACAAUACUUUCCAUUCCAUUUCAGAACUUCAGGUGGGGAAACUACAUUGUUAUAACCUUAUUUAACUAGAAAGGAAUUGAGCAGGUUUCUUUGCUUUCUCAGUUCCAACACUCUUAAUGCUGGAAUCAGGCAAUUGUUUCUGCAGCUUAAAAGUCAACUUCAUGCUAAGAAGAAGAGACUGCAGAUGCCCUUCAGAGUUCUUGCACUACCAGUGCCUUCUGCAGAGCUUUGCAAGCUGCUAAGCUGCAAGUUAAUCAUUAGAAGAAGACCUACUAUAAACCUAGCGUUUAUGGAAAGUUUAGUUUAUGAUGGGGGAUGGGAAGAAGGGGUUGCAAUAAAGAUUUAUUACGACAAUGAAUGACUUGCUCUAACCUUGACACCGUUUACCCAAGGAGAGGCUGGUUUAAUUGCCCAGAUUGCCUUUGAUUGGGUGAGAGUUGGGGAACCCAGGAACAUACUGAAUUCAGAUGGAACAGGAAAUAGGAAAACUAUUGGUUUGUGCAAGGAUAACUAAUUAACAGGUAAGUUACUGGUUGGCUCUGAAAAAGAUCACAGGCAAACUGCUGAAUCCUGCCCUUUUACAACACAGUCCAGUGAGGCCAUAGUGCAGUAGGAAUGUAAGAACGUAAGAGGAGCUCUGUUGGAUCAGGCCAAAGGCCCAUCUAGUUCAGCAUCCUGUUUGCACAGUGGGUAGCCAGAUGGAUAAGGGAAGCCUGCAAAGCGGUGUGGACCAAGGAGCUGCUCAAACUGUUGCAUUCCUCAGUUCUGUUGUGCACAGGAAAAAUGAUGGCAUGGAGACAGGUUUGCGUAAACCAGGCUGGAAGGAGCAAGCUGCCUUUUCAGUUUUCAAUGAGGGGGAAAUGAAGCCACGGGCAUAGAAAUGUCUGACCAUCCCCAUGUGUUUAGUUUGGGUCUCCCUUGUCUUUCACCACAUGAACCAAUCCAUCCUUGUGCAUCAUGCACAUAAUGUGACAGUGCAGUGAGGAUUACAGAUGUAUCCUGGAAAAUGCUAUGCCACGCCAUGCCACCAUAUCAAAGUUUUCUUUUCAUGAACAUCCCCAACCUCAAUGCAAGAAAGGGAAGUCCUACAUUUUACUAACAAUGGGCAAAUUGUUCUCACAUCAUUAAUUCAUUUCAGGUCACCAUUGUGACCUAAGAUGUGAAGAGUCCCACGUGCUGUUUCCUUCUUACGCAACACAAACAAGUGUUGUGUGAGGCUGCUCUUAUAUAUAGGCUGGGCCAGGAGGCUGGAGGGCAGGGACCACCAGCCUCCGUUGCUGGACUCCUGUGGUUCCUUAAUGCAAAGGCACUUUUCACAUGCAAAUGAUAACAGGAUCAUAAACAGGCUGUAAUGGUAGGCAUGCUUACUUCAUGGUUAACUCCAUCAAAUAAAUAGGACUUAUUUCAAAGAAAACGUGUUCAGAAUGGCAGUGUGUACCAUUACUGAUCUUUUAGAAAUCUAACUUGUGGGACAAAACUCCACCUCUUCCAGAUUACAUGUUGCUCCCCACACCCCAACCUCAAUUAUAUUUUCCUGUAGAUUCCACUGGUCCCAAGCAAAGGCACAUGGCUAAGGCUAUGUACACAUUGUUGGCUUAAAACGCAGCAAGGUUGUCAUCCCCCACUGCCCUUGAAGUCACACACUUGCAUGUUGCUGUACACACCAGAGAGGGGUGGGAUGUCUUCAUUUCCUAUUUGCGUCCCUUGCCACUGCAACUCCCAGAACUCCGAUGCACGAAGCAGUCAUCUGCACAUGUACAAUGGUUGACUCAAAUGUACGCCCUUCAGCUUAAUGGUGAAGUGACUGUGGCUUAUGUUUCAAAUCAGAUGGAAGCUGGUUUAAGGGGAAAUGCAUCAAAUAGCAGUAUUUUUGAGGAAAAUUCAGGAUAGCUAUGGACUGUAGCUAAUGCCCUUCAAAUACCAGUGGUGGGAAUGCACUGGAGCCAGAGUAAACAGAAUGUCAGAUGUAUGAACCAGACCCUAGUGUGUGUGUCCCCGUCCCCAUCUCCCAAGAGCUGGUUCCUGAAGUUCACAUGCAGAACCAAAUCACAAAGCAGUGUGAGAAGCCUUGCGGACAGGUGUUUUGAAAAAAAUCCCUAUUCUGAGGGAUGGGAGUUCUUCCUCAUCAAACGGCAAUUUGGGGAUGUGGAUGAGAGUGGGGUAGGGGAAGGUGAGUUAAGACUGAGGUGAAAAAUCUGUUGCCUUAGUACAGUAAGGGAGUUUUCCUCAGAAGCUGAAUUCUCAUGGGAAUAAAUCCAAGCUGUCCUGACUUGAUCUAACACUUCCUCUUGCUCCUAGAAAUGAUGUUCAUAAACCAUUUACAGAGCUUGGCGCCUAUGUCAAAUAAAUUCAUCCAAACAUCUUUUGUCACUGCUAUGCUGCAGAGAGAGGGUGGAGAAGCAACAGUACACACUCCCAUGCUCUGUUUAUGGUUGCUGUUACCUGACGGUGACUAUGGUAAUUGUUCCAUGGGGGGGUGGGGAACCCCACGUCAUCAACAGAUACACACAGUAGAGCAGUAGAGCAACCCUCUACAAUGGGGGGGGGGGCUACACAGAGGUCUAGUACAAACACAAAGAGUCAUAAUUUACAUGGGGAAAGUCAUUUGUCAAAAAGGCAAGAAGAGAGAACAGAGCAUCACGUCCAAUGUACAUAUGUAAGUUAAUGUGACUUCCUUCAUGCUCAGGUCUGUGCAGAUUGUACAGUCAGUCCAGCACACCCAGGUAGGGUAAGCCUGAUAAAAGAGGUCACAUUGACCACCCUGCAGCAGAAAGUAUGGCCACCUUUGUCUAUGAAUAACUAAAACAUGUGUGACCAAAGGUCUUCUAUGACUCCAGCUCCAGCCUAGUGCCAGGACUAUCAACACAGAAGGUUCAUAGUACCAGAACUUAACCUAUUCAACCAAGCUUGCUGUAUGUCACAAGCAGAAAACAGGAAUGUUGCACAAAUAUAUCUAUAUGUAAAUAUAACUCAGAUUAAGCAAUAUGUGGUACAAAUGUCAUAACCAGUCCAAUCCUCCUCACCCUGCAUGGAGCCCAGCAGGCUUGUGGGAAACACAGAUUAAGUACAGAAGACAGGUCGAAGAUGCAGGGCCUUUUCUGUUGUGGCCCCCAAGUUAUAGAACUUUCUCCACAACUGCAUGUAAAAAAACCAUUUAUUUCAGACUACUUUUUUUCUUUAAUGAGGUCUCUUAAUGCUGGAGGUUUUAAAUUAAUGUUUUAGUAUUACUAAUUUAUUGGAUUCUAUGCUGCUCAGUUGAUUCAUCCAUCCCACCGAAUCUUGCAUUUACCAGUGCCAUUCAUUAAUAAGGCAAAAAGAAAUGUAAGGUCACUAUUAGAAUGUAGGGAAUCAACGCAGGUUUCUUGAUAAUGUUUUCAAGGGACUGACUAGCUAGCAACCAAACAAAGAAAACUCUUCUGGGAACUAUUGCUGUAAAUUAAAAAGAAGCAAUUUAUUAUUUCUGUCAGCCUCAGCAAUGGGCCUCAGCACUGUUUUGGUUAGGAUGGAUUUUACUGUAGUGUUUACAGCAGAAUGAUGUACAUGUUUGUUUGAAUUACAGUAUUUUGCUAGAUUAUAAUGACUGUGUUCAUUUAUAAUAUAUAGUUUAUAGGGAAUAGCUACUUCAUUUUGAAGGAGCUGAAGACCUGGUGGGGUUGUUUAAAAAUCAGCAAAAUAGCUUUGCUUGUAUAGUCAAAUUGAAACUCUCCUUAUCUAUAUUCCUCAGUAGAAUAUCUCAAUGGGAAGCCAGCCUCAGAAAUUCAAAUUUUCAUUCUAGUUUUCAGUUGCAUGUAGGCAUUCUGCUACGAUUGACACUAGAACCCUCUAACAGCUCAUGAAGAUUACUAAGACUACAGUGAGUACCCAAGAAAUCUGAUGUGCAAUAUACUUUCCUAUACAUGUUCCACGGGAUGCAGGUGGCGCUGUGGUCUAAACCACUGAGCCUACGGCUUGCUGAUCAGAAGGUCGGUGGUUGAAUCCCAGCAACGGGGUGAGCUCCCAUUACUUAGUCCCAGCUCCUGCCAACCUAGCAGUUUGAAAGCAUGUCAAAGUGCAAGUAGAUAAAUAGGUACUGUUCUGGCGGGAAGGUAAAUGGCGUUUCCAUGCGCUGCUCUGGUUUCGCCAGAAGCAGCUUAGUCAUGCUGGCCACAUGACCCAGAAAAAACUGUCUGUGGACAAACGUCGGCUCCCUCGGCCAGUAAAACGAGCGCUGCAACCCCAGAGUUGUUCGCGACUGGACUUAACUGUCAGGGGUCCUUUACCUUUACCUUUUUAUACAAGUUCCACUAUUCAGGGAUGCCAACCUUUUUGAGCUCUUAAGCACAUUUUCAAACUGGAGGUCUUAAGUAAUGCCCUACUGUAGGUGUGGGGAAUCUUUGACUCUACAGAUGUCGCUGAAAUGUAACUCCCAAUAUCGCCACCCACUGGCCAUGCUUUUGGGGGCUGGGAGUUGUGGUUCAACAGCAUCUGGAGGGCCAAAUCUUCCCCCCACACCUGACCUACUGGAUCAUGCCAAAGGCUCAUCUAGACUGCAGCCUUAGAGACUUAGUGGGGCAUCAUAAAUUGUAAAGCUCACAUAAUAUCCUUUGUAUAAGUAUUUAUAAGUUGCUGACUGGCCACUGCAAGGUGUUAAUGGGUUUUGUCUCCAGAGAGCUGGAAUGAAGGCGCUAUUAGGAUUUGUAGUAACAAUAAUAGGCUAUGUGGGGGAAAAACCUGCAUAUGAUGUACACUGGGGUCACAAUACCAAAGUGAGCAAAGAGUGGAUUUGUGGGAAGGUGGAAGGGAAGAAGACUGAAAACUAAAAGCAGUUUAAACGCAUAACAAGUCUUGAUUGCAGCAAAAUGAAAUGUAAGUGGCAAAGAAAGAAAUCAGUUGGUGGCUUUGGGCAAUGCCUUAUUAAAGGAAUUUUCACUGGUGGGGAACAAAUUCCAAACAGCAUUUUUAACUAUAUAAGAUGGCACUUUAAAAUCUUCAUAAAAAUACAUAUCACAUAAACAAAACAAAGACUAUAAUAAAUGUAUUUUAACAAUAAAUGUGACUAAAAUAAAUUUGGCACUUACAUUUCAGAGUGAUCUUCUCUGACUGUUACUCCAGUAUGAAGCAGUUUCGUUCUUUGAGAACUUCUUGCUUCCGCUGUAUCACCACAGUUUAUGGGCAAUAUGCACAUCCCCAGGCCACCAUUUUCAAUUCUCGGAUUUUUUUAUUUUAAAAAUCCUCACAUCAAGCCUCAUGCCUUGAAAAUAACUGAGUCCAUUUUGAUUGGCUGCCUCUUUUGUACAGCAACGCUGGUCAGAUUUUGUCAAAUCCUUCUGUAAUUCAACUUCUUGUGAAGGGGGGGGGAGUGAUUUGCCCUCAUUUUUAGCCAGUACCGGUAUUCUGUUUUGUUUGCACGCACCUCACCUGAGACUCAGGCUGCUCAGCUGCAGGCUGCCAUUUAGGCCUUCCUGUCUCUCACACAGAGGAAGAGUGCUUGCUUGUGCUCUGAUUGGCUCUCCAGUAAAAUCUUCCUCUUGGCCUUUAGGGCUCCCUGUUUAUUAAGAUAGGGCAAGACUUUGCAGGCCAGCGGGAAAUUACUUACAUACAUAAGGAUCUCUCUACAAUCAUGUAGACUAGGGAAAGGGGGUGCUUGGCAAGGGAUUCAAGGAAUGCACAGGAUUCCCAAAGUAGAUGAAAGCAAGUUAACUCUCUUCACAGUGACCUCAAAAGUACUCUCUCAUUUAUUAUGUAUUUAGCAAGGCAGAGUGAGAUUCUCUCCCUUCUCUCAUUCCCUCUUAGCACUAUGAACAAUACAAAAGCCUGAGUAUGGGGAAUUUUCCCAGACUUUUCUGUCUGCUUCCAAUUCUAAGAAAAGAAAAUUAUUGAAGUGGGUGUGUAAAUACCUCCUCAAGUUUUCCUCACAUUUAACAUUCAAGCUUGCAUUCCCCCCCUCCCCAAGGCAGCCCUGUCAUGUCCAUCAGCUCCCAGCUGGGCCUUUAGAGAGGCUUUCAAUGAACUUUCUUGUCAUGUUCCCUGUCUGGGGAAUCUGAAGUUUGGGGGUCAGAGCAAAAAGAGCACCGGAAGGGGAGAGUUGGAGUUUCCUGAGAAGGGACACAGCAAUGGCCAGAGGAGCCCAUGUCUUCAUACUGAAUAAAGAAACUUGGUGAACACAAAAAUGCACGUGAGGAGAAUUCCUUCACUUUUUUAGAUGUUCUAUUAAAAAAAAAGCUUUGGCUUUUGGGUUCAGCUGCUCCCAAGGUCUGGAACAGCAGGCCUUAACUUCCUGAGGGAUCAGCCUCAUUGUGAGGCUUCCAAGAGAGCUCACCAAGCCCUUAAAUCUCUGGGAUGAGGCUUUAAAAAAAUGAAACUUCCAUGCCCAAAGGCAUGAAGAAUUCCCCUCAGCAAAAAGGGUGACCAUAGACCAGUGGUCCCAUUAAUUAGCAAUCCAUUCCCAAAUGUAUUUAUUUGCAAUGGAGCAACAGGCUGUAUACAUACAGUUAACGCUGCAGGGCUGGGGAAGCUGGGAGCCAAAAGAUCCCUUUCUAUUCAGUGUGUUCUAUUACCGUAUGUGCUGAAGACUCUUUCCAGUCAGGCAAAUACGCUCUCUCCCAAGGCCCAGUCCCUCACCCAACACAAUAUUAGGGCUCAUAUACACAGUUUAAAACUCUCCCAUAUACACACAUGGUGUAGGAACAGUUAAUGUAUUAAAUUUUAUUUACACUCUUUGAAUCCUUGAGCGUAAUUGCCCAUCUCAUUAAAAAAAAACCCACCCCCAUCUCCCUACAUGAUUAUGGCCUUUCUCCUUUGAUGCUAGCUUUCCACAGACAGGAAUUUUAGGAGGGGGAACUCCACCAUACAAAAUGAAAUAAUCCCAAGAAACCUGCGCUGUGUGUCAUGUUCCACCCAGAGUUCCAUUACUACAACUGCACAAACUUCCUCACAGUGAGCUGCUGACAUCUUGUGGGCAGAGAUAGUGUUGCAUGCUUAACCUGCUACAGGUCAAACUUAAAUCCUUUAAAAGUGAAGGUGAGCAAGGACAGGUUGAAAAGUCUCUUCUUCACUCUCUUUCCUUUGCAAGGCUGCUGUUUCUUCUUCUCAGCCAUCUUGGUUUUGGUCGGAGAGCUACUUAGAAAUUAAGUAACUCUCCUAUUUUAUUUUAGUUUUUCAGGCACAUAUAUUCUUAGAUGCAGUUGGGUUGCUUUUCCUCAUUCUUGUAUGACCCAGAGAUCCUUGAUAUACACAAUAUUCAUUCAAUUUCAUCUAGAUUUAAUUUGUAACCAGAUAUCCGAGUAAAAACAUCAUUGUCAUUUAGCACCUCCUAGUGAUGUUAGAAUUUAUUGAUGUAAAUAAAUAAUAUAGAGGCUAAUUUUAAUCCUGAUUUCUAUAUAUUCUAUAGUUGCAUAAUAUUUUAACAAGGAGUUCUAUAAGCAUAGUGAACUGCAGUAGAUAUGGGAAGAGGAUAUGGGAACUAUAAAGAUAUGGGUAUCCUUAUCUAAAACCCCUCUAAAAACAAAAAUCACUCAUGAAAUUAUUUCAUCCAUGUUACUUCAUCUUGUUCCUUGACAGUAACAUCAUUCAAUUACAGUGGUACCUAGGUUUAAGUACUUAAUUCGUUCCGGAGGUCCGUACUUAACCUGAAACUGUUCUUAACCUGAAGCACCACUUUAGGUAAUGGGGCCUGCCGCUGCCGCUGCGCCGCCAGAGCACGAUUUCUGUUCUCAUCCUGAAGCAAAGUUCUUAACCUGAAGCACUAUUUCUGGGUUAGCGGAGUCUGUAACCUGAAGCGUACGUAACCUGAGGUACCACUGUAAUGCAGUAACAUCAUCCAAUUAAUGAAGGUUUUCUGUUAAAUAUAUUUCCACCUGACUGCUUCUAAGACCUUCCUGUUCACCUUACAAAAUGCCUCUUGGACAUUUAGGUAGUACAUGUUUCUGAAGGCUUAACUCUGUCCUUAUCCAGAGAGUCAUGCUUGAAAUAGUGGGCUGUACAUGCACUGCUAUGUUCACAUAUCUGAUGGAUGAUGUCAACUCUGCCCAACAGGUUGGGGGGUGGGGGGACAGAUUCAGCAGUCAUCAUGAGUGGUGGUUAAACUACAUUUCAUGCAACUGAAUGGUAAUUACAACUACUUUAUGAAAAGUAGUUCAAAAUGACAUAUAGUCGUACCUUGGAGGUCGAACGGAAUCUGUUCUGGUAGUCCAUUCAACUUCCAAAACGUUCAGAAACCAAAACGUAGCUCCUGAUUGGCUGCCAGAAGCUCCUGCAGCUAACCAGAAGCUGCAGAAGCCCCGUCAGACGUUCGGGUUCCAAAGAACGCUCAAAAACAAGAACACUCACUUCCAGGUUUGCAGUGUCCAGCAGCCAAAACGUCUGAGUACCAAGGUGUUCGGGAUCCAACUGUAUUUUAAAACUAUUUUUGUUUAUCACUACUAGGAGAGGGGGGGACCUGUUAUAUAAACAACUGAUCAUUUACUAUCAUAAUGAACAUUGUGUAUACAUCUCAAGGGCCCUUCCAGGCUGGUGUUUUUUGGCAGGUGCACCCUGCAACCUGUCACUGACACAACAUUAGCGGUGAUUUUUUAUUGAACCAUCCUCACAUCAUUUCACUUUGCUAGUUGUUCUGCAAUGUGAACAACACUGCAUUAUUGCCCUUGGGAGAGACACUCUUGCAUUGUGGCACAACGAAUACAAAAAGCUCUCAGACAUUUGUGGUAUGAACGUUACAUUAUUUUUCUAGGAAACUACAGGACACACAGUAACAGGAAACAAAGCAACAUGUUUGUCGUGAAACGGCUGCAGGGGCAAAGAGGAUAGAAAAAGGUUUUGAGUAUUACUGCACCAACACUAUUGGCACAAAUAAUCACAAAUGCACAGUAAACAAGAUGUCUGGAUGGGCCCAAGAGAAUACAAAAGGAAACACUAAGAAGAAUGCAGGCAUGCCUGCAAUUACCAGCAGAGGGUGUGGCAACCCUUCUAUACUUCCUACACAGUUACCCGCUAGGGACUUGCUCAGUUUGUAGCAUUUCUAAAAGCUAUGGUAUUGAUUAUUCUGGCACGGGGAUGGGAAACCUGUGCCUCUCCACAGGUUGCUGCUUACAGGCUGUGGUGGCUAGUGCCCAUUGAGACUGGUAGCACAGAAGGCAGGGAGACCCACAGGAGGCAGAGCCAAGGAUAGGCCAUUCUAAUUUUGUCUCCAUCCUCCUUUCUCAGAUCUGCAAGGGACAACACUGAGGCUAAGGAAGAGGCUGAUGAGGGAAAUGUCACCCCUUGGAAUGAAUGUAAGUAAGAAGUCAGGUAGGGCCCCAUUCACACUACUGGACCAGCCUCCAUUGCUCCCUUUUCUUAAAGGGUCCCUAUCAGAUUCCUGUGAGUAGGGCUUUCAGUGUGGAAUGAAGAAAGACACGGCCAGCAGCUCAGCCCCGAUCAAAUAGUGCUGAUGAAUACUGCAUUUUAGAUUUUUGUUUUAAUGUUGUGGCUUUUAGAUUUUGUUAGCCACCCUGUGCUCUGUGUGAGAAAGGGGAGGAUAUAAGACAGUAGUCGUAGCAACAGCAGCAGAGGUGUUGUAGUAUUGCUGUUAUUUUUAUUAUUCCCUCCUCAGAAGCGAGAGAGGGCAAGCUAGAUCUCUGUGUGAAAAGAAAACAAGGGUCAGAAUUUUAGCGGACACCCAACUUGUGUAUGUUUUAGAGGAAUAAGCCUCCAAGGGACCUCCUUACAAUAAACCUCCAGUGGUUUCUAAACCACCACCCCUCUUUCCAUCCAAGUAUAUCAAGAAGCAUAAUCACAAUUGAAGGAAACAUCCCAAGCAGGAAAAAGCACCUGAGGAGUAGAAGACAGGCCCUAAAUCACCAAAGAGGAAGAGAACUUUCAGUCCUCCUUUCUGCUCUGUCCCUGAGUGUUGUAUUCUAGAUAUGAUACCCCUUAAAGACAGAAGCAUCACAAUGAAAUAGAAAGUAAAACAGAGUCUGGGAGUCAUUUAGUGACAAUCAGCAUUUUCCAUACUCAAGAGUUUGUAGCUAUUUUAUUGCACUUGAAACACCAAGAAUAAAACUGACAAUCCCCAUCUCCCCCACCCCAAAAAUAUAGCAUAAAUUUUUAGCAGUGAUCAUUUUGUUCACAGCCACAGCUUCAAAAAACUGGAACAAUGAAUCCAACACAGUCACACCGCUUUACAGGUCUGAUUCACUUACAAAAGAUACUGAAGGAUUUUGGAAUAUUCCAGCCACAUCAAGUUAACAAACAUGAGAGGGACGCUCUCUGACUGUUUUGUUUGUUUACAUUACAAAGCUGCUUUUUUUUUCUUCCCUUCUUUUUUGUGAUUUUUUUUUUUUUUGCAUUCAUGUGAAAUAA